UAGUGCCCCCCUUGCAAGUAUUUAGCAGACUAUGAGAAAAUAUGUAGUGUAAACUGCAUUAACAAUGACACCUGCUACAAUGUCGAUGGAUAUUGUCCUCGGAGUUGCCGUAAUGGAUUUCGAGGAAAUCGCUGCGAUGAACAAGGCAUUGACGAUUUUACAGGCUCCUGUCAAGACAAAAGAAACAACGUUGCCGGAUUAGUAGCGGUUUUGGUUAUUUCUCUCCUGAUCGAUGUUGGACUUUUCUUUAUAGUGCUUUACUUCAUCAGGUAUAAAAAGAACGAGAAAGGAACUGACCAGCCUUCCUACGAGGUGAUUGACAGAGGCGGUUCUCAUCAAAGUUCAACAUCUGGCGGCCAU
Molecule: long non-coding RNA, 360 nt
Organism: Saccostrea cuccullata (small rock oyster)
Lineage: Eukaryota; Metazoa; Mollusca; Bivalvia; Ostreida; Ostreidae
Exons: 3
Source: RefSeq, a predicted model, not a curated record